This 1090-nucleotide long non-coding RNA is filed under the name Dromaius novaehollandiae (emu). Its description in RNAcentral is "lncRNA (ENSDNVG00000013899.1)". Lineage: Eukaryota; Metazoa; Chordata; Aves; Casuariiformes; Dromaiidae. The record is from RNAcentral.
AUGUCUUCUUUUGCUUUAAUUCUCUUAUUAUUUCAGCUCCAUGUUAUGUCUUUAUCCAUUUGGAUAAGGAUGACUUUCAAUGGUACAGCAACACUUCAGGAAUUACACAGCCUUGYCAAUAAGGUAGCAAAUACAUGGCCUAUGAAGUUCUCACCAGCAUACAAGGCGAGAAAGAAGACGGAACUUCUCAUGCAGCCCAGAGGAGCCAGUCACUAGCAGGAACUUGAUCAGCAGAACGGCUUUCAAUGUUUUUUGUAAAAUAUGGACACUCGACCUGGAUGAAUACUAAGGCACUCCAUACCUUCUGAGGACUACUGGACAAGACCGGAUCUCUAAUGAACCUAAUGAUAAUUAUGUUAAGAAUUGUCUAUCGAAUCUAUGACCUUUAAUCUCUUAGUAGGURCUGUAAUGACACCUAUUGCUUCAGCACUAUAUGGCAUGUGACAGAAGCAAGAACUCUGAUAGAAGCCUUAGUAUAUUACAUCCAACUUUAUCAGCUCAUAACUUGUCAAACAGUAGUAAGAAAUUCGCUUGAUAAGAUCUAGUUUUCCAUUURAAAAAUCUUAAUGGCAAUUGGAUUUCCUUCCUAUAAUUAUUAUUACUUUGACAGUAGGACCUUAGUCAAUCAGUUCUCUUAAAAUCUGUCAAAGAGAAGUUGUUGUUUUCCGAGCAGCACACUUGGAAGCGUUAGCUGUAUCUAGCCAGUUUAAUAUCUGUUCCUGCUUGUUAUGUAGAAAAAACAUCAGGUUCYUGUUAAUAACAGAAUUCAUGGCUGGGAAAUUGUAGCAAUUGAUCAAAAUGAUGGAUAAACUGUAAUUAAGCCAAUUAACUACAAGAACAUUUGUAUAUCAGCAGGUUGGAAAUGAGAGGCUCACAUCAAAGACGUGUAUAUUAUGGAAAAAGAUACAUACCAUUCCCUCCUUUGUUUUCUGAGGAGAAUCAGGGGUGAUUAAAAAAAAAAAAAUCCUCUACUGUUCAGAAAUCAUAUGUUAUGAAAUGAUACGUUACAUCCAAUGGACUGUUCUUUACAGGGAACUAUGAUACUGCUGGAAUUGAAAAAAUAAAAGGUCUACUUUUUGUAUUGAAUGCA